ACAUACGACCAUAGGUACUAGAAAGCUCGGGAUCCCGUCCGCUCUCCCAUAGAUAAACUGGUGACCGCCGGAUUAGUAGUUGGGUCGGUGACGACCAGCGAAUACCUGGUGUUGUAUGUU
RNAcentral lists this ribosomal RNA (120 nucleotides) under Diaporthe ampelina. Lineage: Eukaryota; Fungi; Ascomycota; Sordariomycetes; Diaporthales; Diaporthaceae. The record is from RNAcentral.